AUUUCAUGGGGUGUAUCUAAAAACCAUUUACAAAAGCUGCAAAUCUUUUUUGCUGCCAAUACAAACUCUCCCCUUCUAACCCCGCCCAUACUUUCUGUGGCUGUCCAAUCACAGACUUCCCAAUGCAGCUCAGUGAGAAGUCUUUGCAAGGCAGGCGCUCUGGGCAAUUGAUGGCUCUUGAGUUUACUUCCACAGAGCUAAACACAUAGGAAGUAACAGGACUGAUUGUCUUAUUGACAGUAUAACCAGGUUAAUUUAUAAAAGUUAAUUUCUAUUAAAAUGUGCACUUAUUGUAAAAUGAGAGGGGGAGGGGGUGGAGAAGACACGCUUUACACAUAAACCACUUCAACAAGCCUAAAUGCUCAAGGGGCCUGUACAGUGCAGAAGAUGAGGAGUCACAUUUUACUCCAGGACAGAAUUGAGUGAAUUGGUGUUUCUAUAAAAGUGUUAGAUAUGUGUAUUAAACAAAUUCAAAUAUGGAUAAAUAUUUACUCUGUGAUGAAAAUUUAAAAAAAAAGUUAGAAGUGCGGAACAAUUGUAACUCAGCUGCGAUUUAAAAGUAGCUGCUGCAAAGAUAACUCAGGUAGACAGCCAUUAGUGGUGGAGUUAACCCUGCAAGGUCAUUAUUGCAGUUUAUCAAGAUUACCAUUGCAGGGUUAUCGGACCCAGACCACUUCAAUCAGCUGAAGUCUAUAGUGUCCCUUUAAUUGUAGCUGGGUGUAACGGAUCCCCUAUACUCCGACUGAGUAUAUCUGUUAUAAAUCUCCCGAGUCCCAAGCGCAAUAGUGAUUACAGCUCCCAAUUCCCCAAACAUCAGCCUAGACUUGAUGAAGAGUAGAAACGAAUGUGUUUAAUCUGGCCAACUGGCCCACUUAUAUACAAAAUCAGGAGGCAUGAAAACACGCCCAGAACACUGCCACAACAUGGCUACAAACUACAGUGUCAACAUGAUUAGGCAUAAAUGAUAUAAAAUAUUAAUACACAUGUAGGAACCUCCACAAAUAUGAUAUCCCCGGAUAGCCUGGAUCUGAGCGCCCAAGUUGUUCAAAUAGCGCUCAGAUCCCACGGAUACAGUCGAAUCGCCACCGGAGUAAAGUUUUGCCCGACCGCUCAUGAGGCGUCUGCCCAAAUUAGUUCCAUAGUUUCGGUGGUAGAGGUCGGUCAAUUUCAGUAUGUACAAGGUUUGUUUGCCUUGUACAUACGAACAAACCUACCGAACAGCGCUCUCCUGGCCUGUUGCAGAAAGA
This is a non-coding RNA of Pelobates cultripes (western spadefoot toad), 1247 nucleotides long. Lineage: Eukaryota; Metazoa; Chordata; Amphibia; Anura; Pelobatidae. The record is from the annotation of a GenBank genome assembly.